This 1910-nucleotide unclassified non-coding RNA is filed under the name Helicoverpa zea (corn earworm). RNAcentral's name for it is "zinc finger protein 37 homolog, transcript variant X4". The record is from RNAcentral. Lineage: Eukaryota; Metazoa; Arthropoda; Insecta; Lepidoptera; Noctuidae.
AAACGUCAAACAAAAUUGUUUUGUAAUUAAAAAAGUGCAGGUUGCAACGAAAAAAAACUACCACUCUGCGACUCAGUGCAUCAAAUAUGUUAUUUUAAUUGUUAAAAGCAGUUUGUAUGCUCAAACAGCAGAUAUGAGCGACACUCCUGGAUAUUUGGACGGCGUCUGUGAAGGCUGUCUGAGCCCGGAGCGGCAACAGCCAGUGGAAAUCACUGAUAUUGAAAUUAAGAAACUGUUUUUCGAAAUUCUCAACCAAGCGGCUGAUCAAAACAUAGAGAAUCUGAAGCUGCGUCUAUGCUCCGAGUGCAAGUCCAGCAUUAAGAAGUUCCUGACCUUCCGCCAACAGGUGCAAGACGCCCACGAGAUACUGUCCCGGCAUUUGAUCGCCUCAUCUCAGUCUACUCUGCCGUCAGAGCCCACCGACAAUUUCACUAAAACGCCCACAUCCGUCAGUGAUGUUAAGACUAGGAUAGAUGUUACGCCCAAAGAGCUAGCGUUUAUAAAGGUAGAAGAUGGGCUGGAUGACGGCGGAUGUUACCUGGAUGAUGACGAUCAGGGAGGUGAUGAGGAUUUUAAGACAGUAUUAAAAGCAGAGAUCUCGCAACCAAACCAGUUAGAUAUAAGCGUUAGUUAUAAAACAAAAGAAGAUGACUUCAAUGAGUCUGAUGAUGAACCGCUACACAAGAAGCGGAGUAAGAAGGAGGCGGGGGAGAAGAGGGGGAGGAAGAAGAAGAAAGAUGAUGCCUUACCUAAGAUAGACCGUCGCAAGUGUCCUGGGCCGAAACGCGAGAGGCCGCCGGGCGUGGUGGAUAAUCCGCGCGUCAGGCUGAAGCUGAAGCAACUGAAUGUGCCGGACGGCAUGCUCGAGUGUGUUGUACUUAGCUGGGAAGAGGUGGAGGCGGAAAGGCAACGCGGGCUAUCGAGCGCGGCGUACUCCGGCCAGCAGUACCGCUGCGCCCACUGCGUGCUCGGCUUCAACCACCGCGCCAAGCUGGUCGCGCACAUGAACAAGCAUGACGCGAGCGCGGGCCCACUGGAGUGUAACGUGUGUCAUGUUCGCUGCAAGCACGCGCAUGCGCUCAGUGCACAUAAGCGAAGACAUCGACUUAGAUGGCGCUGCACAGUAUGCGGGCACACGAUGUCCCGCGCGGGAGUGGCGGCCGACCACUGCAGUCGCCGACACACCGCGCCGCCUCCACAACACACGUGCCGCCUAUGCGGACAUACUGAUGCGUUAGUAUGUUAUGUUAGUUUGGCAAAGUUGCGCAGUCACAUGAAGAGUCAUGCGGAGCGACAGCGCUGCGAGCUUUGCGGGAAGACGUUCCGGGAUAGAACAUCGUUAAGGACGCAUCUCUUUAUCCACUCGGGGGAGAAGGAAUUCUCGUGUUCUCGCUGCGACAAGCGGUUUCUGUUCAAGAAGGCGAUGCAAGUGCAUGCCAUGACGCACGAUGCACAUGCCAACCUGUAUUGUUACCAGUGUGAUGUAACGUUCAAGAAUCGCAUGUCGUACACACAACACAUGAAGUAUAGUCUCAAACACGUCGAUCCCGCACAGCUCAAAUAUGCAUGCACGUCAUGCGACAAGCGGUUUCUGAAGGCUUCGCGUCUACACGACCAUACACUAGCUGUGCAUCUCAAGGCGACGCCCGUGCAUUGCUCCGUGCCCGGCUGUAGCUUUGUGAGUAUAGUGCCAUGCAUGCAUGCAUGCACAUCACACGCUAGCUGUGCAUCUCAAGGCGACGCCCGUGCAUUGCUCCGUGCCCGGCUGUAGCUUUGCGUGUGCGUCUCGUCCGGUGCUGCGUGCUCACAUGCGCUCGCGGCACCGCGACUCCGCGCCGCGCAGGAACCACGUGUGUCAUACUUGUGGGAAGGCCUAUCUUACUAAGAAAAGUCUAGAGGGUCAUCUCCGC